RNAcentral lists this long non-coding RNA (899 nucleotides) under Vigna radiata. RNAcentral's name for it is "long non-coding RNA (VRAD_LNC016313)". The record is from RNAcentral. Lineage: Eukaryota; Viridiplantae; Streptophyta; Magnoliopsida; Fabales; Fabaceae.
GGCAAAAGAAACAAUAUCCACAUAACCAAAAUCGGUAGACAUGGGAAAGAAGGGGGAAAAGAAGAAUGCAAUGAAAAUAUGCAACUAAAGCUACCUAAAUGCAACACACAAUGACAAACACACAAAACAGAACAUCACACUCACAACACAAGACAAAACAACACACACUAACACAACAAAAGACCUAAAACCGAACCGUUGGUCCCCGACAACGGCAACAAAAUUUGAUGAGCUGUCGCAACCGACACAAAUUAAUGUGCAAUUAGAAAUGCAGUAUAGCUAGGAAAUGACUCCUAGGUCGUCUCUCAAGGACCAAUUUUGCGGUUCAAGAAUUAAGUCAAACACGAAGUGGGGGGUUGUGAAAAUGUUUGUGGUGAAUGCGGAUGAACUAAAUCAAAACAUUGACGCCAACAGAUAAUUAAACAUAGAUAUAAAAACGGUUUCAAAAGCAGAAUGGAAACGGUUGGUCAUUAACUUAAUUAUAAUGCUUCCUAUCACAUAUCAACAGAAUAAAGUCGACUCAAACCUCUAAUCCAACACAAUUAAUCAACUAAGCGCAGGCUAAUUAUGUUUUCAUAAAAGCGGACUAGGUGAACGCAAUGUUAACAUCAAAUCUAAUUUACACCAUGCAGUUUCAUCAACUAAGAGAAGACUCAACACCAACUAGGUAACUAAGUGUAUACCCAAUUGCAAGUGCAAAUACAGAUUUGAUAUUAACCAAGUCAGAGUGGCAAACACAAUUACGGUCCAGAAAUCUCAAGGAAACAUUAUAAUAUUGCUAAUGACCAACCAAAUUAAUUUAAGCUAUCAUAACAAUUAAAGUAACAAGACCAAACAUAUUAGACAAUAUUAGAAUAGAUGAAAAUAUUAAACGCCUAACACUGUAACAAACAAAUAUC